UUUAUUCUCGUUUGACUUGUCAUUCAGCAAAGUCUCAUUUGUUUACUGUAUCUGUCCCUGCAUGCUCUAAAAACUUUUAAUUGUCUAGUUUUUUUCCCUGCACUUCCACCCUUUGGAACUCUCUACCAUCUUCUUGUUUUCCUGUCUCAUACAACCUACAACAUCAAGUUUUCUGUCAAGCAUUUCUUUGCUCUAUAGCUUUUUCUUUUUUUUUUGUUUAAAGUAAAUCCUAAGUUAAUAUUGGUUCCUUUCAACCUUGUUGGGAGAAAAUCAAUUUGAUUAGAAAUUACAUCUAAAAGAGUUACAGUCUUGGGAAAAAGGAAAAUAAUAAAGAACAGAAAAAAAGGUGAUGGAAUGAAGAGGUGCUAAGGGGAAACACAUAAAAGAAUUGUCAAAGUAUUCAAACCUGAUUUUACAACAAAUAGGUGAAUUGAUGAGUAUGUAUACUAGGGUGGAGUGAUUUUGGAAUCAAAACUAUAGAAACCCUGGAGUAAAUAGAUAAUCAAAAAAUAAUAAUAAAAUGUAUAACAUGUACUUGCUAAUAAUGCCUGGAAAAUGGCUGGUUUACAAAAAUGUACAUAUAUUAAGACAUAAUCUAUUUUCGAGGAAAACCGCCAUUUUUUGAUUUUUUUUCAAAGUGGGCAUGCGCAUUGCGCUUUGUUUUGUUAUUUUUAGAUAUUUUUUAAGUUAUAAUUUAUAAAUAGCAAAAUAAUUUAUAGAUAAAAUGCCUAAGAGCAAAUCCAGGAAAACUCAUUUAAAAAUAGUCUGAAAUACGGAGGUCUCCCAUUAGAAAUGCCUUCAGCUGAUUUUCCAAUAUUUUGUCAAGUAAUUCAGUUUUUUUAUUUCUCUGAAAAUAGUAACCAAAAUAUUUCAAGACAGAAUCUACUAGAAGAGGUUGAGAAUUCUCUUAGGACUUUGUGGAGUAAAGUAAACCCAUGUCUUCCUUUUUUUUUUUUUUAUUUGUUAUUUUAGGUGCCCCAAGAAGUCCUAACAGUCUUGUCACAGAGCACCACGGAAGUGCAUUUAACCAGAAAGUUCAUGCCUCCUUCCUUACCGUGACGCAAAAUAUUUCCAAAGCUCGUUUCAAACCUGGGUCUCCUGCUUUAAAAGCAAGCGCUCUAACCACUGCGCCACGGCCGCAGUGGUUAGAGCGCUUCUUCUACUUCAGAGAAAUUCAAUCUUAAGAAAAUUAAGAAAUCUUUUUGAAAGAGUACCGAGGACGUUUUAAAUCUAAAAGUAAGGAGUAUCAAGAUUUGAUUUUAGAUAAACUCUUUGAUAUUUUAUCAUGUACUUGUGAAUUAGCAACUGUUUUAUGUAAUGACAGAGAUGUUAAGUGUAGCAUCAUUAAUUGUCAAGUAGAGCACAUCUGGUGUCUUUGUAAAACUAGAAAGGUCCCUUCUGAAGACAGGGCAUAUAAUCGUGACCAGAGAAACAAGAUUGGUCCUAAAGGUAUUUAUCAGCUAGGAAAGGCUGAUUUAAAAUCUGAUACAUUUACUCUGGAAAGGUUAGUUCAAGUAGAGCUUACAGAUCAUGUUGAAAUGCCUUAUGCCCAUAACUCAUUAUUGAUUCUGGUCACAAAUCUGAAGAUAUCUGGUCACAAAUCUGGUCACAAAUCUGAAGUUUCAGCAUCCGAUCCAGAUGUUUUGGUAUGAUGUCUCAUCUUGUGCUGCAGCUGCACUAGCAAAUGCUCUUCUAAAUUAAGAAAUCAUUAAACAUUUUGACAUUAAAUUUUGACAUUUUAAACAUUAAACAAUUGAGAGAGAGAAGAAGAAAAUAAUGUCAAGAUAUGGUGAUCAACAUGAUAAUAAUUUAAGUAACUUGGUGUGUUAGGGUAUUGAUGGUAAAGAUGUUAAGAAUGUUCUUCAGUUUAAGGAUGUCGUUGAAAAUGGAGAAACUACCUUGUCGAGAGUUACUGAAAAAGAUCAUCAUUUAACUUUUACUAAUGAAAAUAGUUUUAAAAAUGGUUCAUAUCUCUCAUAAAAAUCUCCCGUCAAAUGGUGCAACUGGUUUGCUUCAAAGAGUAAUUGUAUAUAAUGUUUUGAAAGAGUAUGAUAGUUUAAAUUCAGUACAAGUCCUUCUUCUUGAUAAGACAAAUGUCAAUACAGGUUUCAAAACUGGAGUUGUUGCAUGUUUAAAAAAGAAAUUAGAAAGAAAAAUACACCUUAUCAGAUGUACUUUGUACAUGUACAUCGGAUCGCAAUGAACUUCUGUUUCGAAAAGUAUUCAAAAUAGUUGAUGGCAGUUCAAAGAGCCCAAAUAAUUUUUUUAGGACCUAUUGUAAGGCAAGUUUCUAUAGAUUUCCAUCUAAACCCACAAGUGAAGUUUACCAAAAUUGAUACUCCAGUAGAGAUACUAAAUAUUCCUAUUGAAGUGAUAAUGAUUUAACCACGAUCAAAGACUAUUAUUUGAAUAUUAUCUUGGAAUUUCUAAAGGAUUUCUCAACACUAUAUUUUUUAGAAGAAAAAAUGGUCUACUAAACAACGCAAGAUGGUUGACUUAAGCAAUUCAAAUCAUGGCUUUGUAUACUCAUACUGAAGCACCAAGUCUAGAUCAUGUAAGGCUUGUGAAUUUUAUUGUACAAGUGUAUGCAUACACUUGGUUUAUUAUCAAAAGGUCUUCUAAAUUUAUGGAUUCUGCAAGUAUAUUCUUUAAAAUGACAAAACAGAUAAAGAAGCAAGAUGAAGAAAUACAAAACAUUUGUUUUAAAAAUGUAAAAAAAAAUUCAUAUUGUCUAUUGCCUGAGAACUUUUUAUAUUGUAUGCUUAGGGAUGAAGAUUCUAACAUAAGGGAACAGGCAUAACUAGUCAUUAAAAAACUCAGGACAAGUAAAGAUAAAGAGUGCCGUGUUACAAAUAUUGCUAAUGUUGACAUAAACUUUCAAGCAACUUCUUGGAUAGAAUUAAUUGACUUUAAGAAAAUCAGUGAACCGGCAUCAACAAUAUGGUUGAAGGAUGAUGAAAUCAAUGCUCUAAUUGCAAUUAAAGAAGUUCCGAACUUACCUGAAUUUUCUUCUCAUGCGCAGAGCGUAGAACGGGCUAUCAAAUUAGUUACAGAGGCUAGUCACCAAGUAUAUGGCAGGGUAGCUCAUCAUAAAUAUAUUUUAACUAAACUAAAAUCCAGGGAAAUUCGACCAUAUUUUGAAACUAAAAACGACUUUGCGUUUUUUUUUUUUUAAAUAAAUUAUGUUAUGCAUUUGAUGUUAAUAAAACAUCUUUAUAUAAAUGUACUUACUUUUUUCAAUGCAAGCAAUAAAAUAGUGUGUUUAGGAUUUAGGACCAAUGCAGUAGUAGGGUAGUGGUAAAGUGUUUGACUCACAUUUGCAAGGUAUUUAUUUUGGAAUUAUUUUGCAUAUAUCCAAGCCUUUGGAUAUAGAAAUCUUGAUAAACACUUAUAUUCAUCAAUUUCAGUGUUUAUAGUGUUAAAAACAAUAAAAAAAAAAACAAUUUAAUAACAUGUAUGGAUUUUGGUGAUGGUUAUCCAUAGCUAUUUUUAUUACCCAUUUAUUAAGUUGAUCACUGUUUUUGAAUAAAAAAUUAAGCACUUUAAGGUCAUAGAAAUAAUUUUAGAAGGUUUUUCCAAAUAGUGUAAUGCUUCAGCCUUAUAUGAAUUCACGAUUGGCUAGAUAUAUUAUACCAAAAGGGUACAUGUAUCAAUUAUGUUUAAAGUAUUUAGUCAAAAUUAAAUUGUUCAAUUUACUAAUCUUUUAUUCAUAUCUGGUAAUUAUUAAUUACUUACAUCUUGGAUAAUCUUGAGGUCAAAAUUACUCAAGCUGUUUGUAAGCACUUUUAAGACCUAUAUAACUAUAAGUACUUAAUCCUUAAGUAUAUAAUUAUAUAAAGUUUUCAACUAAUUGUACCUUAAAAAACUAAA
Molecule: RNA transcript, 3870 nt
Organism: Hydra vulgaris (swiftwater hydra)
Lineage: Eukaryota; Metazoa; Cnidaria; Hydrozoa; Anthoathecata; Hydridae
Source: RefSeq, a predicted model, not a curated record